AUGGGAAUAAUAGCACUUUUCCUCCCUACCUUCAGAGAGAUGAGAAUCUCUCUGAGAAUCAGAGAGAUGCUAUUUAUGGAAAGACAAUAUAACCACAAAUCCCUGCCUGUAUACUAUAUGGUGAAUAGUCUGUCAUUACAGGAGGUGGCAUGCUGCUAUGGACAAAGUACUGGGAAAAAAAAUCAGGAGACCUGGGAUCCACUCCUGGCUGAGCUGAAAAAUCUCUUCAUGUUGGGACAUCCAAGAUGCUCUAGACUCAUACAACCUGUGAGUCAGAAAGAUAGAUUUCCAAGAAACCAGAACAGGCAUAGACACUCCCUCCCUCAUUCUCAGAUACAUGGGAAAUAUGUUCGCUUUCCUGACCUCAGAGGACUUCACAGCAAAGAAGUGGUCAGAGAAAACCCUGAAGAGCUUAAGGAGCAGCAAUGCAGGAUUGGCAUGUGCUGGAAGCAUGGGCCAGUUGGCCUAUCUUAAAAGUUUCUUUCUGUGUGGAGUGGACAUAAGAGCCGAAGAGGCCUCUGGUGGGGAACUGAUGAACAACCCAAGAAUUCAAGUUAAGAAGAAAGAAACUACCUAAUCCAUACCAGCAAAUAGCUUAAAAGAGUGGUAGAAAGAAGCAAAAAAUGUAGAAUCUGACAGAUUCAAGACAAAAUCUCAUAUAGAUCAUUUAUCUGACUUUGGGCAAAUUAUUUACAAUUUCUGAGCCUAAGUAUUCUUAUCCAUAAAACUGGGAUACUAAUGUUCUUCCACUGGAUUGUUAAAAAUAUUAAAUGAGAUGCAAACGUACGAGCCUGGCCAUUUAGUCCAAUAACUAAGAACAAGGAUGGAAUGACCCUGACCUGAGUGAGGGGACAUGGAAGCCCAUUGGUCAUCUCUGGAGGACCUGAUCUAGACCUAGAAAGAUCUUGGGAGCAGGCCCUCAUCAGGUGGAGAGGAGAGGGAGGAGACAGUGGAGCUCACUUGGUUCUUCCUGCCUCCAUGGGGAUUGAUGAGGACAGAGCCCAAAUGAAGAGCUAAAGAAGGUAGAGGCUGAAGGCCUCAAAGACCAGAACAUGCUAGCAACAAACACAGGCAAGUCCAAGGAGGACCCCUGUGUCCCAGUGAUCACUCUUCUGUGAAUUCCUCCCCGUGUAGAUUUUUACAAACAGACAUACCCAACUUACCCUCCACCCAAAGUCUGCAGAGAAGGAGUAAUUGCAGCACCCAUGCCAGACUCUUCAGCAGAGCAGGCAGAAAGGGACCACAUGAGGGCAAUGCUGCUUGGUGUCAACCCUAGCCCUAUGCUCUGAACUCAUGCACCAUGAGGUCACCACUUCAUCAGUGGAAGUUCUGGGUACCUCUCCCUGUUCAAAAUCAAGGUUCUAUGUUCUCCUCUCUUUUCCCAAAUUAAAAUAGCUGCUUGCCCCCAUUCACACAUAGGCUUCCUAGAGUAAUUCCUUCCCAUAUUCAAUCCCUUUGGAAUCUCUUAUUUAAA
RNAcentral lists this long non-coding RNA (1474 nucleotides) under Vulpes vulpes (red fox). RNAcentral describes it as "lncRNA (ENSVVUG00000014810.1)". Lineage: Eukaryota; Metazoa; Chordata; Mammalia; Carnivora; Canidae. The record is from RNAcentral.